CCGGUUGGGGACGAGCUCGCGGCGGAUUAGCUUGUUGGUGGGGUAAAGGCCCACCAAGGCGACGAUCCGUAGCUGGUCUGAGAGGACGAUCAGCCACACUGGGACUGAGACACGGCCCAG
This 120-nucleotide ribosomal RNA is filed under the name uncultured bacterium. Its description in RNAcentral is "partial 16S ribosomal RNA". It matches the Rfam family "Bacterial small subunit ribosomal RNA", at positions 215 to 334 of the family's 1533-position model. The record is from RNAcentral.